RNAcentral lists this ribosomal RNA (486 nucleotides) under Streptococcus gordonii. RNAcentral describes it as "bacterial SSU rRNA". It matches the Rfam family "Bacterial small subunit ribosomal RNA", at positions 28 to 490 of the family's 1533-position model. The record is from RNAcentral. Lineage: Bacteria; Bacillati; Bacillota; Bacilli; Lactobacillales; Streptococcaceae.
GACGAACGCUGGCGGCGUGCCUAAUACAUGCAAGUAGAACGCACAGUUUAUACCGUAGCUUGCUACACCAUAGACUGUGAGUUGCGAACGGGUGAGUAACGCGUAGGUAACCUGCCUGGUAGCGGGGGAUAACUAUUGGAAACGAUAGCUAAUACCGCAUAAUAUUAAUUAUUGCAUGAUAAUUGAUUGAAAGGUGCAAAUGCAUCACUACCAGAUGGACCUGCGUUGUAUUAGCUAGUAGGUGAGGUAACGGCUCACCUAGGCGACGAUACAUAGCCGACCUGAGAGGGUGAUCGGCCACACUGGGACUGAGACACGGCCCAGACUCCUACGGGAGGCAGCAGUAGGGAAUCUUCGGCAAUGGACGAAAGUCUGACCGAGCAACGCCGCGUGAGUGAAGAAGGUUUUCGGAUCGUAAAGCUCUGUUGUAAGAGAAGAACGGGUGUGAGAGUGGAAAGUUCACACUGUGACGUAUCUACCAGAAAG